Molecule: long non-coding RNA, 523 nt
Filed under: Mus musculus (house mouse)
Lineage: Eukaryota; Metazoa; Chordata; Mammalia; Rodentia; Muridae
Description: long non-coding RNA chrX:101768534-101769057
Source: RNAcentral
AUGAUCGUCUACCGGGACCUCAUCAGCCAUGACGAGCUGUUCUCCGACAUCUACAAGAUCCGGGAGAUCGCGGACGGGCUGUGCCUGGAGGUGGAGGGCAAGAUGGUCAGUAGAACAGAGGGUGCCAUCGAUGACUCGCUCAUCGGUGGAAAUGCUUCCGCUGAAGGUCCGGAGGGCGAAGGUAUUGAAAGUACAGUAGUCACCGGUGUUGACAUUGUCAUGAACCAUCACUUACAAGAAACCAGCUUCACAAAAGAGGCCUACAAAAAGUACAUCAAAGACUACAUGAAAUCACUCAAAGGCAAACUUGAAGAGCAGAACCCAGAAAGAGUAAAGCCUUUUAUGACUGGAGCUGCAGAGCAGAUUAAGCACAUCCUUGCUAAUUUCAAGAACUACCAGUUUUUUAUUGGUGAAAACAUGAAACCAUCCAGAUGGUAUGGUUGCUCUCCUGGACUACCGUGAAGAUGGUGUGACUCCAUUCAUGAUUUUCUUUAAGGAUGGCUUAGAGAUGGAGAAAUGUUAA